RNAcentral lists this non-coding RNA (440 nucleotides) under Pan troglodytes (chimpanzee). Lineage: Eukaryota; Metazoa; Chordata; Mammalia; Primates; Hominidae. The record is from RNAcentral.
UGGGGGCGUGUCCGCCUGCUUUCAGCCUUUGGCAAGUUGGUGGGAGCUAAAAUCAGUCAUCUUCCUGCAAAGGCAUGAGGAGGAAAAGAGAGGCAGUAACUGAGCGAUAAUAUGCUGUAUGAGCCUCCUGCUCUGCUGCCCAUUACCUGCGUCACCUCCACAAGCUACUGAACCUCAAGGAACCCAUCUCCUCAUCAGGAAAAAAAAUAAGCUUUAUCAGGGUCUGAACUCUGUAGGUCUUCACCACGGCUCAGGAGGAUGAGGAGCAGUGACAGGCCAAACUACGAGAAAAGACAGAGGGAAUCAAACUCAACACUGCGUCUAAACCUCCUCCACCACUGUUGAAGGGAUCCUGGCAUCAGAUGGGGAACAGCUCUAAAUCAAAAUAACCUCACUACUGUGCUUUUCUGUAAAACCAGGUAAAGAUCAGACAAGCAUAA